CUAGUCACCAGUACCCACUCCGACUACUCGCGAAAGGCUUUGAUGGUUUACGGUUUGGCUUUUGCCUUUUGCAAUUUGGCUUUGCCCCUUCUCUCUCUAUUUUGUGGUGUGCUGAACAUAUAUUGAUGUAUGAGAUUUAGGACUGAGGCUUGACCGCUUGGGUAUCUCUAAUUAAAAAAAAAAUCUGAGUGGGUCAAAAAUUGAGUGGAGUAAAAUUUUUUUUUUAAGUGCUUUCAAAAAUUGAGUGGGGUCAAUUGACCCCACAUUUUUUGCAUAGAUUCGCCCCUGGAUGAUGCUAUGUUAUUAACAGUAAUG
RNAcentral lists this long non-coding RNA (315 nucleotides) under Panax ginseng (ginseng). RNAcentral's name for it is "long non-coding RNA (PGIN_LNC018641)". The record is from RNAcentral. Lineage: Eukaryota; Viridiplantae; Streptophyta; Magnoliopsida; Apiales; Araliaceae.